GAACUUCAUUUGUAUGUUUGACUGUAUCUGUCUGUAUUUAGUGGGAUUCUAAUGGGUACAAGGCCAAAACGUUAGCAGAGCUGAACACAGAGGAGGUUUGCCAGUGGUUUAGUAAUAUUGGUCUACAGAAAUGCCUGCCCUUCAUUCGAGAGGCAGAGUUCAGUGGAUCUCACAUAGCUUCUAUUGAUCUCAACACCCUCGAAAUCCUUCAAGUGUCCAGUCUGGAGGAGAGAGAGAGGCUGCUGUCUGCCAUUUACCAUGAGUUACACCCACCAAACUCCACCACCCAAAGACUCGACUCCCUCCUUGAUUUGGUCCACACAAUGUUGAGAAAUUCACAGCAGCUUUAGUUUCCAUGACCAAGUCAAAAUCUUCUCCUCAAGUUGGCAGCAUCAACAUGAACCGAUGUUCAUUCAAAUUCAGGUAGA
This 428-nucleotide long non-coding RNA is filed under the name Sinocyclocheilus grahami. Its description in RNAcentral is "lncRNA (ENSSGRG00000022325.1)". Lineage: Eukaryota; Metazoa; Chordata; Actinopteri; Cypriniformes; Cyprinidae. The record is from RNAcentral.